CCUACGGGGGGCAGCAGUAGGGAAUCUUCGGCAAUGGACGAAAGUCUGACCGAGCAACGCCGCGUGAGUGAAGAAGGUUUUCGGAUCGUAAAACUCUGUUGUUAGAGAAGAACAAGGACGUUAGUAACUGAACGUCCCCUGACGGUAUCUAACCAGAAAGCCACGGCUAACUACGUGCCAGCAGCCGCGGUAAUACGUAGGUGGCAAGCGUUGUCCGGAUUUAUUGGGCGUAAAGCGAGCGCAGGCGGUUUCUUAAGUCUGAUGUGAAAGCCCCCGGCUCAACCGGGGAGGGUCAUUGGAAACUG
This 305-nucleotide ribosomal RNA is filed under the name uncultured bacterium. Its description in RNAcentral is "bacterial SSU rRNA". It matches the Rfam family "Bacterial small subunit ribosomal RNA", at positions 338 to 635 of the family's 1533-position model. The record is from RNAcentral.